CGGCUGACACCCACCAGAGACGUCUCACAAGUCAGUCUCCUUUCCUCCGCACGCCGCAAGGCCCGCACGCCAAUAGGCCCCUUAUUGCGGCGCGAGGGACGCCUCGCCCUGCCACGCCAAUGGCGAGUAACGAGUCUAAACCUCCUCGAUCUCUUACCUACCCCCCAAUGUCUGUUAAAAAACUUAGGGCUCCUGGGCUUAAAAGGUGAACUUCGUCGUAACCGACUCAUCUGUCUUUGCACUGCAGUCUGGCCUCAGUACAAAUUAGAUAAUGAUUCUCAAUGGCCACCCGAGGGGUCUUUACAAUACCAAAUCUUAACCAAUCUGGACAAUUUCUGCCAUCGGCUGGGAAAAUGGGGAGAAAUACCCUACGUCGUGGCCUUUUGGGACCUCAGGUCUCGCCCCAACCUAUGUUCCUCCUGCCCCUCUGCAUGCAUGCUCCUUGCCCGCCCACAACCCCCUGAUGACCCCACCUCACCAACUUCCCCGAUCUCCACCCGUUAGAGGAUCUAGCCACGCCGCGCACCAGCCCUUGCCCCCUUCCUACUCCCAACCUCCAGCCGUCCCGCCCUCGCCUCCCAUAUCAUCCCGAAUCCCGAACUCGUGCUCAGGCCCCUCCCAGCGAACAGACCCCAGCGGCCAUCUUACCUCUCCGUGAGGUGGCAAGACCUGAAGGCCUGGUUCGCGUUCACGUCCCCUUCUCCCUCCAAGACUUAUCCACCAUUGAAAAGCGGCUAGGGUCAUUCUUGUCUGACCCCACCCAAUACAUUAAGGAAUUCCAAUAGCUUGCCCAAGCCUACAGUCUCACAUGGCAUGAAAUCCUCACCUCUACCCUCACCCCUGAGGAGAGGGAGCGCAUCCAGGCCGCAGCCAGGGAACAUGCAGACCAAACCCACAUGACCGACCCCACUAUGCCUGUAGGGGCCGAUGCUGUCCCGGCGGCCGACCCCAAUUGGAACUACCAACAUGCAGGCAAUGGUCACCGGCGCCGGGACCAGAUGAUCCCGUGCCUGCUAGCAGGCAUGAGGGCAACCUCAACCAAAUCAGUAAAUUUUAACAAACUUCAAGAAAUAAUAUGGGACCCCAAUGAAAACCCCGUAGCCUUCCUUAGCCGGCUCACAGAGGCACUUACCCAGUAUACCAGACUAGACCCUACCACCCCCGCCAGGGCCACAGUAUUGGCCACCUACUUUAUUUCCCAAUCAGACCCUGAUAUUUAAAAAAAACCUAAAAAAGGCCGAAGAUGGUCCUCAAACCCCUAUGGCCGACCUGGUAAAGAUGGUUUUUAAAGUUUUUAAUGGCCGAGAGGAAGCUCAAGAACAACGGCGACAGGCCCGUCUCCAACAAAAGGGGACGACAGACUAGCAAUGCCCCCACGUGGCGAGGCUUCACCCCGAUUGGACUCUGCCUUCCAACUGCUGGAGAUGGAGGAUGACGGCUGACCAGGCCCAGACUCAGUAACUCCGGUGACCCACGCUGAGCCCAGGGUAAAACUACAGGUAGCGGUUUCCCAGGUUGCAUUUCACCAGAUGGUGGUCCGGCCAUAUUCCCGCAUUCCAACCUCAGACCCCACAUACCAUGACGUCGCCCUUACACCCGCAGGAAGCAGCCAGACCAGAUCCGUCGCCCAUUAUCACCAGUAAGAGGUUGGAAUGUUAGGAUGUCUUUGGAACCACAGUAGAGGGGACGGCCAUCUUGCCAGCGCAACCCAAUGAAAAGCCCCUAGUAGCGUGCCAGAACGAAUUGGAGGUCAACCAAUCACCAAGCGACAGCAUGACCUGAUGCGAAAAAGGCCCACCUGGACCUAAACCUAGAACCGCUGCAGCUUAAAAACCUCACCCACCACACCUGGGGGCGACUUCCCUGACUCCUCACUCUCUCUCUCUCCCUGAGUCACCGAACCUCGCCCGAGACCUUAGUUCCCAAAUAAAGCCUUUGACCGCUAAAAUUUUUUAGCCUCUGGCUCCUAUCUUUACCCUGCCUUACGCCUGACCCUAACACACCCAAUGUUUUUUUCUCUUCUGCCCUUCAAUUUCUGAGCCUAUCUUAACCAAGAAGCCCUCCUAUAUACUAACCAGGGAAGUGGUAAGCUUUUUCCAUCUCAGCAAAUUUGAAACAUUUACCUGUUUUGUUUUGCAAAGAAUGUGUCUUUUCUACCCACUCUGCUUACCUCAACACAUAACCAACCACAAUAUUCUUUCCAAUUUUGGAAUCUAGAAAAAUGUCAGGUGUUACAGGGCCACCAAAAUAAUGGCAUUAAAGAACAAUACGAAGUACCGUAAUAUUAGUGUGCUGUUAGUACUAUACUACUUCGUGUUAAGAUUGUUUGAUUCUGGACUAAAUGAAAUGGAGUACCUGACCUUCAUCAGCAAAAUGACCUCACCAACUUCUUAUUAGAACAUGCAUCCAUAAGUCUGAUAAGACUGUGGAAGCAGAAGGAACUGUGGUAGAAAGGUACCUGGUCUAAUUCAUCUUUUAUCCUUUGCAUCCAGCACAGAGAGUGAAUGCUAAUACAUGCUUAAUUUAAUGUAUGUAUUCAUGUACUGAAAAAUUUCAACAAAUAGAUGAGCAGUGGUACAGCAAGUAAUCAGGCAAAUACCAACAUUAUAAGGAUUUUAGAUUUUCUAAAAGUUCAAUUAAAAUACUGCCACUUUUCCAGAAUACGGAAUCAAAUUCCAAGAAAGCACUUUUAAUAAAAUAAGGCACAAUGUUUAAUAAGGCAAAAUUCACACAGAGGGUUAAUAUAACAUCACAUUCUCUUGUGAGUCCUGUGGGGGGAAAAAGGAGGUAUAGAAUUGAAGUAGCUUAAAUAUAUUUUUAGAGCAUUUGCCAUUACCAAGUAAUAUAUAAAUUUGACGCACUUAACUGUAUCUUAUUCUGAAAAGGAAAUAUAAUUGUUGAAUCAUGUUGCUGAAUUACAUUUAUUGUUAUCAUUAAGUUUUAAAUAUCUAUAUAUUUAUAGAUAUUUGUAAUUCACAAGAUUUCAAGUAGGUAAAAUUAAGAAAUCAGACAAUAAAAAGUAAUCUGACUAAAGCAAAAGUACAUAUAUUUUCAAUAUCCUUUGUUGAUACUUUAAAGUCCCAAAUUUUAUAAAAAGUUAAAGUUAAAAUACUGGUAAUUUAAAAUAUUUCUCCCAUUAUACUUUCGUUUCUCAUGAAUACAAAGUGGGCUCAGAAAUGCAACAAACACCAAUUAUAGGCACACAGGUCUCUCCAUGAUUAAACUGUUGUAAAGUGAUUGUUGAAAUUAAUAUUCCUUCUAAAUAACAUACAUCACAUCAAUGACCACAUCAAUGUCAACCAUUUGAGUUUAAAAGGUUUCUCUUAAAACAUCAGUUGUAGACAGAAGAACUAACCAAUUUAGUAAUGUUUUAUAGUACCAGCAACAGCAUUUUCAAUCUUAUCCCAGUUUCUUCUAACUACAAUUUAGAAUAAAAGUUUUAUCCCAUUUAUUCACAACCACAGAAAGUAAGUUCUGGUGAAUGCAUAUAGUCAGUCCAACCAUGGCUUUCUGGUACAAUGGUAUAUACAUAACCUUCAUUAAACUAGUUAAGUUUUAAUAUUUACUAGAUUGAAUACUGUACCUUAGGACAAACUGAGACUAACAAAUCCCAGGUAAAAGUCUAGUAGCACCUAAAUCAGUAUUACCCUGUGAGUAAUAAUUCAAUAAUGUUUGUUGUUAGUGAACUGUUAUUUUAUACAUCAAUUCGCAACAAAUAUGGACCACGGAGAGACAGAAAAAUGGAGAUAUUUACAUGAAAAAUGUUAAAACAUAGCCCCUUGCAACCUAGUGUUACAAAGAAACCACUCAAAAUAUCCUAGGCCUCACAGCAGUAAAAUCUUUGCAUCAUGCUAUUAACAUGACAGCCUUUAUAUGCUGUCACCCUUAGUGGUAGCAGAUAAAUUUUCUUUACAAAAUAAUAUAAAAAAGAAUAUACCUUUCACUGAUUUUAUUUCAGAGGACCCUGAUCCUUAUGGCUUGACCUUCUCCCAUAGUAUGCAUGAUUAGGAUUCUUUCUCCAGAAGCUCUAGACUCAUAGACAUUAGGCCCCGUUUUAGGGGAAGGAAUUCCUCAGGUCACUCACAGUCUACCUCCCUCAAGUCAAAUGCAAAAGAUCAUUAGGCUGUCAUAAACCACUUACUAAAUGACAGUGUCCCAAACUUUGGGUCUACAAUGAAGGAUUUAAGGCACACACUUUCUAAGCAUACAUGAAGACACUGUUGCCUUUAAAAAGAUCAUGGCUGUAAUGAAACUACAAAAGUGGAUUCUAUUAAAUUCAUCACAUUAAUGUUAUACAGAGUAUGGUGCUUAAUACAGAAACAGUGACAGUCAGGUACUUCUUUUCUACACAGACAGAAUCAGAAAUAUGUAUCACAGAUCAUGUUGCCUAAAAACAUACAUGUUGCCUAAAAACAUACGUAUCAGCCUUUAUUGUUAACACCCAGCAGAACUUUUAAAAGCUAUUUUGGACUAAAUGCAGAAUAUUUAUACUAACAUAAUACAAUCUCUACUUUGGAUAAGAAGAGGGUCAUUUAAGUAAAAAUUAGGUAUUUCUAAAUAAAUGCAGCUUAACUAAUUACAUACACAUAUUAUAACUGAUGUUUUGUCUACAAAGGGUUUUAUUACUUAGAAUAACAUUUUAUAUAAAUAAAUACUGCUAAAAUGCUUUAAAAGAUCAAACUUUAUUUGCACCAAUUAUUUGCUUAGUAUUUUUUUCUUUUUUUACAUAGUGAAAAGGUAAACACUAACUAAGGCUGUACCAUAAAUUUCAGGUUAAUGAGGUAUUACUUUCUCCCUUUGGAAAGAGCAAAGUUGGCUCUAAGAAAAUCCUAUUUACUUGCUGGCUUGUCAUCAUAGAGGGAUGUGGAUAAUCUCCCAAUAGCAGAAACCAAAGAAACUUAGUGAUAAAGACUUUCAGAUGGUUGUCAAUGGGCCACAUGGUUUUAAAACAAUUCACUAUUACUUUAAAGAACUUUCUUGGCUCAGGGCUAUCCUGGGGUGUCUGGUGACUUCUCUUUUCCUGCCCUUUGUUAUAAAGAUUUCUUUCAUUUAACACUCCAGCAAACAGCCUUUUCCUACUCUUUGCUUAAAUUGAUAUUUACAAUGUUUGGCAGAAUUGGCCUGCAGUAUUACACUGCACUAGCGUGGACUGCCUUUUAACUUUUAUCUACAUCAACAUAAAAAUUUCUCAAAUUUGAGGUACAGUUUACAAUGCAUCUUUAUUUUUAAAUUUGGUUACUUAAAAUUCCAAAGAAUAGAAAUUUCAGAAUAAGAGACUCCUCUGACAUAAAUAUAGAAGUAAAAUAUGAACAGUAAACCCUCAGAUCUACCUCUGGUACUCAAAUACAAGGAAUACUAAGAACCUCGACUAGCUUGUCGUUAGGUCAGCCAACCCCUGGCACCAUGGAAGCAAAAUGUUCUAUCAGCUAAUCUUCCUAUUUCCUAAAAUCCUAGGACUAUUCAAACUGAGUUGGUGAUGCUGAGAAUUGGAUUCUAAGAAUAAAGAUUACUAAGAAUGUUCAAUGUACCCAUUUCCAUUUCAAAUAUUAACACUGAAGAAUUCCAUUCUAGACACAUUAAUGCUGUGGUGAAGUAAUUUGAUACACAGAAGUUCUGGUCACUAAAAUUAGAGCAGUAUCAAAAACUUAUUUCACUAUGAAAAUUAGCACAGGUUUUGUAAAUCUCAAAAAAUAAAGUUUAUUAACUAGUUUAAACACAAACAGAUGACUUAGCAACUAAAGAGAGAGACUACAUUUAAAAUACAUAGCUAUAUGAUUCGGGAAUUGAUUAUCUGGUUGUUAAAUUAUCAAGUCCCUUGCAUCUCGUCUUCUGGCUAAUUUCUACCAAUCACCAUUUAUGAAAAAAGGUAAGGUAGAGGAGAGAAACAAAAAAUCUUAGAAAUUAUUAGCAGCUCUUAUAAAAGGUUAGGUCAAAGAUUUAAAAGAAAAAAUAUAUUGAUCUGUGUUCAAGGGACAAGACUAGCCCAAGGUCCCCCUGCAACACUGGCACCUUAACUCCUAAAAACAAAACAACAACAACAACAAACCAAAAAAGAUAAAACUAACAACUGAAAUGUAGAGUUUUGUAAAAGUCACUAGAGACAGCUACACACUGAUCUUAGAUUUUCAAAUGUCCACGUACAACAAACAUUUUGUUGUAUAUUAUGGUAUACAUCUACAUAUAAAGCAAAGGCCAGAAACUGUUUCUGGUUGGACCUAUUUACAUCUGUAAAGACCAAUCAGUAUAACUUCUUUCUGGGAAGCUGGAAAGAGGUAAGUAUGGUUAAAUACUAUACUGACAUACCUACCCAUUUAUUUUAUGAAGACUAACUCUCAGAAGAUUACCCAAGCUGUUACUUAGGUCAACCUGGUAAUAAAUUAGUAAACUGAGGCAUUUAAGCCAGAAAAAUUUGGUCCUAUCAAUUUAGAUAUAUUACUAUGCAUACAUUAUUUUCUAUGAAAAUAUUUUAUGUAUUGAUAUUAACUAAGUCAGUUACAAACAUUUUGGGUUUGCCACUUAGGCACUGCCUAAGUCAUCUUUACCUUUCCUAAUUUUGUAGUAUGCAGCUUGCUGUGGCUCAAGUGGAAAAGUAAACAAAGGCUUUCCGUUACUUCCAUAUUAUGAUAUAAUCACCCAUGUACUACAUUGCUAGGCAGCAGAAACAUACUAGAUUACUUCUACAGACAUAGACAAUUUCUGAAUCAAAAGGAAAAAACAAUCUUACUACGUUAUAACGAGGUGAAGGGAUUCAUUCUAUAGCAGCGUUUCACAACUGCAGUCAUGAAACUCUCAUGAUGUUUCAUGAAUAAAAUAAUAAAGUCUGAACUAUCCUACAGUAUAUUUUCUUCUAAAAUAAAAAAUAACAUAUGAGACAAAACCCUAACAUAUGUACAUAUUAUUAUUAUUAUACAACAAUCUGGUUUUAAGAAAUGGUGUGCCCCAGUCAUGAAAGCCAAGAAGUCAGAAAGGAGAUCCUGUGAUGUUCCAAUGUGUUUCUGACCUGCGUACGACUGUAUAGGUAACAUUUACCAACAAAACAUCAUGUUAUUAUUAUUGGUCAGUUAUCUAAUGACUGCUAGUAUGUGUUGUGCAUUUUAUAAUAUCAACUUGUAAUUGUACUAUCAUUGAAUUUUUAUUGCAUAUUAAACUAGUUAAUAAAAAUUUGGUCAUUUCUAAUAGCAAUUAAUUUGUGACACAUUUUUCUGCUAUACUUUAGAUGUCUUCAAUAAAUUUCUUGUUAUCAAUACAUUACUUUCAUAAAGUAUUCUAUGGUUAAACUAGUUUUAGAAAUUGCUCUAUUUCACACGAUUUCGAGACUGCUUUAAAGUCUUUACAUAAAUGAGUGCUGCCAACAAUUUUAUUUGGCUUGUUGUAGUAGUUUUCUAGUUUUUCUUUAAAAUGUACAGAAAGUUACAGUUCAGUACACACAGGCAAAGGAGUCAGAGGUGAGCUAAAAAUUUUUAAAUCAUCUUCCCACUCCUUUAAUG
Molecule: long non-coding RNA, 7487 nt
Organism: Felis catus (domestic cat)
Lineage: Eukaryota; Metazoa; Chordata; Mammalia; Carnivora; Felidae
Exons: 3
Source: RefSeq, a predicted model, not a curated record